RNAcentral lists this non-coding RNA (404 nucleotides) under Chlorocebus sabaeus (green monkey). RNAcentral's name for it is "Cyp24a1 internal ribosome entry site (IRES)". It matches the Rfam family "Cyp24a1 internal ribosome entry site (IRES)". From Rfam's summary of the family: Cyp24a1 (1,25-dihydroxyvitamin D3 24-hydroxylase) expression is translationally regulated via IRES within the 5'UTR, which is responsive to an inflammatory environment. The record is from Rfam by way of RNAcentral. Lineage: Eukaryota; Metazoa; Chordata; Mammalia; Primates; Cercopithecidae.
GACAGGAGGAAACGCGGCACCAGCAGCAUCUCAUCUACUCUCCUUGACACCCCCGCCCCGUGGCUCCAGCCAGACCCUAGAGCUCAGCCUUGCAGACCAACAGGAGGACUCCCAGCGUUCCCUUUUCAAGAGGUCCCCAGACCCCGGCUGCCCUCUUCCAGCGCCUGUGGCUAGCGCAGGGAGGCACCAGUGCUCUGAGGCUGUCGCGUGGUGCAGCGUCAAGCAUCCUUGCCGAGGUCCUUUCUGCUGCCUGUCCCGCCUCACCUGGCUCCAUCACACCAACUGGCCCUCUUUGCCUCCCUCUCCCAGAAUCUUUAAGCUCCGAAUCCCACCAGCGCCUCCUACCAACCUCGCCCCACCCCGUCCCCGUGCCUUCCCGCGCUCCGGUGACCCCCGCUGCCAUG